CCUACGGGUGGCAGCAGUCGGGGAUAUUGCGCAAUGGAGGAAACUCUGACGCAGUGACGCCGCGUGCAGGAAGGAGUGUUUCGGAUUGUAAACUCCUUUCGGCAGGGAAGAAAAAAGACAGUACCUGUCGAAUAAGCUCCGGCUAACUACGUGCCAGCAGCCGCGGUAAUACGUAGGGUGCAAGCGUUAUCCGGAUUUAUUGGGUGUAAAGGGUGCGUAGACGGGGAAGUAAGUCAGUUGUGAAAUCCCGCGGCUUAACCGAGGAAUUGCAAUUAAAACUACUAGCCUUGAGUACUGGUGAGGAAAGUGGAAUGCGUAGUGUAGCGGUGAAAUGCUUAGAUAUUGCGAAGAACCCCGAUUGCGAAGGCAGCAUAC
RNAcentral lists this ribosomal RNA (375 nucleotides) under uncultured bacterium. RNAcentral's name for it is "partial 16S ribosomal RNA". It matches the Rfam family "Bacterial small subunit ribosomal RNA", at positions 338 to 729 of the family's 1533-position model. The record is from RNAcentral.